This 322-nucleotide ribosomal RNA is filed under the name uncultured eukaryote. Its description in RNAcentral is "partial 18S ribosomal RNA". It matches the Rfam family "Eukaryotic small subunit ribosomal RNA", at positions 1470 to 1796 of the family's 1831-position model. The record is from RNAcentral.
CCCUUAGAUGUUCUGGGCCACACGCGUGCUACACUGAGUGGAUCAGCGGGUCAGGUUGCGCGAAAGUGUUUCCUAAUCUUGAAAUCCGCUCGUGAUGGGGAUUGACGGUUGCAAUUUUCCGCCAUGAACGAGGAAUACCUUGUAAGCGCGGGUCAUCAUCCCGCGCUGAAUACGUCCCUGCCCUUUGUACACACCGCCCGUCGCUCCUACCGAUUGAGUGGUCCGGUGAGGCUUUGGGAUCUGAGCGGAAAGAGCGUUUCGCUGUUUCUGCUCGGAAAACUCAGUCGAACCUUAUCAUUUAGAGGAAGGAGAAGUCGUAACA